This is a long non-coding RNA of Mauremys reevesii (Reeves's turtle), 260 nucleotides long. RefSeq lists it as uncharacterized. The record is from RefSeq and is a predicted model, not a curated record. NCBI's taxonomy places the organism in Eukaryota, Metazoa, Chordata, Testudines, Geoemydidae. The transcript has 2 exons.
CUAGAGUCAUUUCUAUAGAAUUAUGUUACAUUCCAUGACCAGGGCCCUGCCUUUUAAGGCCUUCUGCCCUUCCUGUAAGCAAACAUGGAGCACAAAAUGAACAGUGACCCUAACUCAGCACUCUUCUCACUGCUAUGGACACAUUUCAGAGAGUGAAAGCUGAGAUUGUCUUGUAAUCAAAUGACUUCAGGAGCUGGUGCUUUGGAAAAAAAACAACAAAUAUUGUGAGACACAUAAUAAAAUCACAAGAGUUGGCAGUA